UACGUAGGGUGCAAGCGUUAAUCGGAAUUACUGGGCGUAAAGCGUGCGUAGGCGGUUUGGCAAGAAAGAUGUGAAAUCCCAGGGCUUAACCUUGGAACUGCAUUUUUAACUGCCAGGCUAGAGUAUGUCAGAGGGGGGUAGAAUUCCACGUGUAGCAGUGAAAUGCGUAGAGAUGUGGAGGAAUACCGAUGGCGAAGGCAGCCCCCUGGGAUAAUACUGACGCCCAGACACGAAAGCGUGGGGAGCAAACAGG
This 253-nucleotide ribosomal RNA is filed under the name uncultured bacterium. RNAcentral describes it as "partial 16S ribosomal RNA". It matches the Rfam family "Bacterial small subunit ribosomal RNA", at positions 524 to 776 of the family's 1533-position model. The record is from RNAcentral.